CGCCAUCCUCGGGACUUUAAAACCCCCAAUCGUCAAGAGAUAGCUAAAACAAGUGUAUCGAGGAUGCUUCUUAAGCUCGAACACUAAUUUGCUGAGGCCAAUGUUGGGCUCGAUACCUAAGUAUCUACAUGUUAUAAAAAAAUAAACAAGCAUUCUCCAGGCGUUGGGCACUAACUGCCCCGAGCACAUGGAGUGCUUGACUAAUAGAGCAAUAAAGAAGGGGUGAAGGGGCCACCUAAAGCCAGCCUUAAGGGUCUCCCUAAAAAUAACGAACUCCCCUCGUCGUGCUCGAAUAAUCCUAUCCUCGGGGUCUGGGAAUCUAACAUCGCAGUUAGGCAUUAAACCAUAUUCCCUAGCUGCAGCUAUGACUGUGUGCUCUUUAAGCCUACAGGGCUCGUCGGGAUACUCAAAAACCAUAUUAACCUGGGCCUCGGGAGUAGCUUCUAGGGGAAUAGCCGUCGGUAUUAUCGAGGUCCCUACGUCCUCACUACUGCUAGAACUGCUAGAAGAUUCUCGACCCUCACUACUCGACAUCACUUAAGAAACUUAAGACCUAGCUUAUAAAUAACUUAGAGUCUCGAGCCUUACCUGGAAUUCCCGACGACUUGAGAAGUUCCCAAAGUAUUUUUCUCGAGCACGACCUCGCAGAACUCUGAUUUACAGUGGGUAAAAGUGAAAAAUGAAGGUGAGAACAAUAGUAUUUAUAGGUGAAAAUGAUGGGAGGUCAAACGUCGCUAUCUACGACCGUCCACAGAGACACGUGUCACAAAUCCAAACCACUCUCUGCAACGGUAAUAUCUCGACCUAUAUCAUCAGCCGUCACUUCUCGAUGAAUGUUCGAGAAAUGACAUAACCCAUGUGCACCCCAUCCUAAGAGCACGAUCUCUAGGACGAGUGCACGGGGGCCAGUGACUAUGCCAAUAUUGAUAUAUCCCGAGGAGUUUAUCCCGAGGACUCAGUCUAUACCCCACCUCAUUUCUCUUCUUCGGUCCUCGAGGGCAUCUAAGUCCUCGAGAUAUUGUAGUCCUCGAGAUACCUCGAGGACACAUUUACAUUCCCUCAAUGUCCUCGAGAAUAGUCCUCGAGACAUACCACCGCCAACAUACCUCCUAAGACCUGGGUACCUAACUAACAAACAUAAACACCCAAGGAUUCUACAUCAACCCUAACACCACUUGUCAAACAAUUCCAUUACAAGUAGGACAUUCUUUAUAAUAGAAAUUCCCUUGGAUAAAAACAUCCAACCAACAUAGUCCUACUAGGAGUACACUACCUACUCCUAUAAAAGCAGAACCUUGACCCAUUAUUCAGGUGCGUUUUACAUUGUUCUUCAGCACAUAGCCUCACGCAUAUAUUUCCCUUUCUGACUUAAGCAUCGGAGGGGCGACGAGAACACACCUUGUUGCCUUUGUUUCAGGUAUCGGAAGAUCACGUUCGUGCUCAUCAUCAGUCAUCAAGCUCGGGAAAUCUACAGGUACGAUUUUUGGUAGCAUCAGAAACCAAGAUCCUUUGGAGGAUGUGCAUCCCACCCUUAACGAGGAAAGAGGGUUGAUUUAUUUCUGUUUGCCAAGAAAAUCGUUUUUCUGGUCACAACUGCGGCAGGAAUCAUAUUUACUCAUUAAUUGCUUUUGACGUGUAGUAUAGUUGUGCUUCCUCUAUACGAGUUUUUCUUUGUAUAUGGUGUUCUAUUUCGUUUUUGCCAAUGCAACACGUCUUUUCCAAAGACAAUGUGAAUUUGUUUAUAUCGAGUUUAGUUCCUGCAAAUUAUCAAGACCCUUGUAAUUUUUAUUGAAUGAUCUCUUUCCCCGGCUAUUUUGCCAACACGAAUCAUUGAGUGUUUCCUGCAAAGACACUCCAAUGUGUAAUUAGAGAAAUAGAUCGUGGGAAGAGGAAUAUUUGAGGCUCCGUUUGAUACCUAUUUUUGUAAGAAUGAGUAUAAAAAAUAUAAUUGUUACGGGAUUCACGCAAGAAAUAAAAAGUGAAAUAUGG
This 1989-nucleotide long non-coding RNA is filed under the name Olea europaea subsp. europaea. The record is from RNAcentral. Lineage: Eukaryota; Viridiplantae; Streptophyta; Magnoliopsida; Lamiales; Oleaceae.